RNAcentral lists this transfer RNA (57 nucleotides) under Bos taurus (domestic cattle). It matches the Rfam family "tRNA", at positions 8 to 63 of the family's 71-position model. Rfam says of the family: Transfer RNA (tRNA) molecules are approximately 80 nucleotides in length. Lineage: Eukaryota; Metazoa; Chordata; Mammalia; Artiodactyla; Bovidae. RNAcentral also lists the same sequence under 4 other names. The record is from Rfam by way of RNAcentral.
UGGCUCAAACGGAAAAGUGUCUGCCUGCAAUGCAGGAGACCCAGGUUCAAUCCCUGG